GCCUGGUUGGCUCAGUCGGUUAAGCAUCUGACUCUUGAUUUCAGCUCUCAGGUCCUGAUCUCACGGUUUGUGGGUUCAAGCCCCACAUUGGGCU
RNAcentral lists this transfer RNA (94 nucleotides) under Felis catus (domestic cat). It matches the Rfam family "tRNA". From Rfam's summary of the family: Transfer RNA (tRNA) molecules are approximately 80 nucleotides in length. Lineage: Eukaryota; Metazoa; Chordata; Mammalia; Carnivora; Felidae. The record is from Rfam by way of RNAcentral.